Apis florea (little honeybee) is the source of this 1182-nucleotide long non-coding RNA. NCBI's taxonomy places the organism in Eukaryota, Metazoa, Arthropoda, Insecta, Hymenoptera, Apidae. The record is from RefSeq and is a predicted model, not a curated record.
UGUGUGUGAGAGAGAGAGAGAGAGAGAGAGAUAGAGAGAGAGAGAGAGAGAGAUAUGAAUCGUGCGGCGUCUAAUAAUCGAUACAGCGCGACGUGCAUGUAUCGCGUUCAAUGCGAGGAUAACUUUAUUGUACUUUAUCGUAUAAGAGAGAUUUGUAGAGAGUUUAUAUUAGGCCAAUUGUCACAGUGAGAGUUAUACGAUAGCGAUGUUUUUUUCUCCUUCAAAAGAAAUCGUGGCCAACUAUUUCAAUUCCCUUCCCUUCCCAGAGAAGAGAAUUUCGUUCCGCUUCGCGUCUGAUCCACCAUGUUUUAAUUAGCUCGUCUUUUAUCCUCCCAGUUUUAUCAUCGCCAAGCUUGCGGAUCAAUCGACGUUCAAUAAUUGACGAGAAAAAUUGGAGAAAUAGCACAUAGCAUUGGAUGAACGAAGUUAAAAAUGCUAAAAGUGACAGUCCUCGAACAGUCCAAAUAGUUGGCCACAAUUAUACAGGCGCAAAAGAUCGUGUCGCGUUCCAGCAUAAUACUCGCGUAACAAUUGCUUGGAUGAUCAAUUUGUGUGAUAUAGAAAGGAUCCAUCGAAGGAUAAUUUCGAUUCAGAAUGUAUUCUCGUAAUUUUCAAUGAUUUUAUUCGUUCCAAGGUACCUGUUCUUGGCCAAAUAUAGAUUAAUGAAAUUGCGUUAAUUAACGUUAAGAGGAAACAUAAUUUGUUGUUUGGUAGGUGAUUUUCUUUUAUUUUAGUCGAAAAUUGCAUCGAGAAGCAAGUUUCGCGUUGAAAAAAAUCAAAAUUUAUAAACUUAUUUAAUUGUAGGAAUUGAUGGAUUAAAAUGAUAAUCUAAUAGCGUAAUGGAACUUGCUUCUUUGAUGAAUCUUUAAAAAAAUAUUGCUUUGAACGCGUGAAGACUUAGACAAAUCAUUUUUCAUAUUUUCUUUUUACUGUUACGUUUUUUUUUUUUUUUAAUCAAAUUAAGUGUUCAAGCUAAAAAAGCACGUUCAAAUGGAGAAAACUUUUCGAAUAGUAGAUUUUAUCAAUUCUAUUUUUUUUAAUUUCGUUCAAAACGUCAGACAUGCGAAAAGAAAAUAAAAAUAAUUCUUCAGAAAUUGUAUUACGCGAUGUGUUACGAUCUGUACGAACAGACGAUGAAUAUGAACAAAAAUCAAAUAAAACGUUACAAUGAAUGUUAGUUAA